GACGAACGCUGGCGGCGUGCCUAAUACAUGCAAGUUGAGCGCUGAAGGUUGGUACUUGUACCAACUGGAUGAGCAGCGAACGGGUGAGUAACGCGUGGGGAAUCUGCCUUUGAGCGGGGGACAACAUUUGGAAACGAAUGCUAAUACCGCAUAAAAACUUUAAACACAAGUUUUAAGUUUGAAAGAUGCAAUUGCAUCACUCAAAGAUGAUCCCGCGUUGUAUUAGCUAGUUGGUGAGGUAAAGGCUCACCAAGGCGAUGAUACAUAGCCGACCUGAGAGGGUGAUCGGCCACAGUGAGACUGAGACACGGCCCAAACUCCUACGGGAGGCAGCAGUAGGGAAUCUUCGGCAAUGGACGAAAGUCUGACCGAGCAACGCCGCGUGAGUGAAGAAGGGUUUCGGAUCGUAAAACUCUGUUGGUAGAGAAGAACGUUGGUGAGAGUGGAAAGCUCAUCAAGUGACGGUAACUACCCAGAAAGGGACGGCUAACUACGUG
RNAcentral lists this ribosomal RNA (497 nucleotides) under uncultured bacterium. RNAcentral describes it as "partial 16S ribosomal RNA". It matches the Rfam family "Bacterial small subunit ribosomal RNA", at positions 28 to 507 of the family's 1533-position model. The record is from RNAcentral.